This 400-nucleotide ribosomal RNA is filed under the name Dichrometra palmata. RNAcentral's name for it is "Lamprometra palmata partial 18S ribosomal RNA". It matches the Rfam family "Eukaryotic small subunit ribosomal RNA", at positions 711 to 1110 of the family's 1831-position model. Lineage: Eukaryota; Metazoa; Echinodermata; Crinoidea; Comatulida; Mariametridae. The record is from RNAcentral.
CUCGGUGCUCUUGAUUGAGUGACGAGGGUGACCCGAACNNNNUACUUUGAAAAAAUUAGAGUGUUCAAAGCAGGCCAUGCGCCUGAAUAGCAGAGCAUGGAAUAAUGGAAUAGGACCUUGGUUCUAUUGCGUUGGUUUUCGGAACUCGAGGUAAUGAUUAAGAGGGACUGACGGGNGCAUUCGUAUUGCGGUGUGAGAGGUGAAAUUCUUGGAUCGCCGCAAGACGACCGACUGCGAAAGCAUUUGCCAAGAAUGUUUUCAUUAAUCAAGAACGAAAGUUAGAGGUUCGAAGGCGAUCAGCAUACCGCCCUNGUUCUAACCAUAAACGAUGCCGACUGGCUAUCCGCCGGCGUUACUCCAAUACGGCGGCNNNCAGUCUACGGGAAACCAAAGUCUUUGG